RNAcentral lists this ribosomal RNA (492 nucleotides) under uncultured bacterium. RNAcentral's name for it is "partial 16S ribosomal RNA". It matches the Rfam family "Bacterial small subunit ribosomal RNA", at positions 30 to 507 of the family's 1533-position model. The record is from RNAcentral.
AUUGAACGCUGGCGGCAUGCUUUACACAUGCCAGUCGAACGGUAACAGGCCUUCGGGUGCUGACGAGUGGCGAGCGGGUGAGUAAUGCAUCGGAACGUGCCCAGAGGUGGGGGAUAACGCAGCGAAAGCUGUGCUAAUACCGCAUGUGAUCUGAGGAUGAAAGCGGGGGACCAGGCAGCAAUGUUUGGCCUCGCGCCUUUGGAGCGGCCGAUGUCAGAUUAGGUAGUUGGUGGGGUAAAGGCCUACCAAGCCGACGAUCUGUAGCUGGUCUGAGAGGACGACCAGCCACACUGGGACUGAGACACGGCCCAGACUCCUACGGGAGGCAGCAGUGGGGAAUUUUGGACAAUGGGCGCAAGCCUGAUCCAGCAAUGCCGCGUGCGGGAAGAAGGCCUUCGGGUUGUAAACCGCUUUUGUACGGAACGAAAAGGCUCUGGCUAAUACCUGGGGCUGAUGACGGUACCGUAAGAAUAAGCACCGGCUAACUACGUG